GGGGGGAUGCGCAGCUACACAUGCAGUCGAACGGUAACAGGAAGCAGCUUGCUGCUUUGCUGACGAGUGGCGGACGGGUGAGUAAUGUCUGGGAAACUGCCUGAUGGAGGGGGAUAACUACUGGAAAGGUAGCUAAUACCGCAUAACGUCGCAAGACCAAAGAGGGGGACCUUCGGGCCUCUUGCCAUCGGAUGUGCCCAGAUGGGAUUAGCUAGUAGGUGGGGUAACGGCUCACCUAGGCGACGAUCCCUAGCGGUCUGAGAGGAUGACCAGCCACACUGGAACUGAGACACGGUCCAGACUCCUACGGGAGGCAGCAGUGGGGAAUAUUGCACAAUGGGCGCAAGCCUGAUGCAGCCAUGCCGCGUGUAUGAAGAAGGCUUCGGGUUGUAAAGUACUUUCAGCGGGGAGGAAGGCGACAGGGUUAAUAACCCUGUCGAUUGACGUUACCCGCAGAAGAAGCACCGGCUAACUCCGUGCCAGCAGCCGCGGUAAUACGGAGGGUGCAGCGUUAAUCGGAAUUACUGGGCGUAAAGCGCACGCAGGCGGUCUGUCAAGUCGGAUGUGAAAUCCCCGGGCUCAACCUGGGAACUGCAUUCGAAACUGGCAGGCUAGAGUCUUGUAGAGGGGGGUAGAUUCCAGGUGUAGCGGUGAAAUGCGUAGAGAUCUGGAGGAAUACCGGUGGCGAAGGCGGCCCCCUGGACAAAGACUGACGCUCAGGUGCGAAAGCGUGGGGAGCAAACAGGAUUAGAUACCCUGGUAUCCACGCCGUAGACGAUGUCGACUUGGAGGUUGUGCCCUUGAGGCGUGGCUUCCGGAGCUAACGCGUUAAGUCGACCGCCUGGGGAGUACGGCCGCAAGGUUAAAACUCAAAUGAAUUGACGGGGGCCGCACAAGCGGUGGAGCAUGUGGUUUAAUUCGAUGCAACGCGAAGAACCUUACCUACUCUUGACAUCC
RNAcentral lists this ribosomal RNA (957 nucleotides) under Enterobacter hormaechei subsp. hormaechei. RNAcentral's name for it is "bacterial SSU rRNA". It matches the Rfam family "Bacterial small subunit ribosomal RNA", at positions 38 to 989 of the family's 1533-position model. Lineage: Bacteria; Pseudomonadati; Pseudomonadota; Gammaproteobacteria; Enterobacterales; Enterobacteriaceae. The record is from RNAcentral.